CCUUCCGUAGGUGAACCUGCGGAAGGAUCAUUACUGAUUUGCUUAAUUGCACCACAUGUGUUUUUUAUUGAACAAAUUUCUUUGGUGGCGGGAGCAAUCCUACCGCCAGAGGUUAUAACUAAACCAAACUUUUUAUUUACAGUCAAACUUGAUUUAUUAUUACAAUAGUCAAAACUUUCAACAACGGAUCUCUUGGUUCUCGCAUCGAUGAAGAACGCAGCGAAAUGCGAUACGUAAUAUGAAUUGCAGAUAUUCGUGAAUCAUCGAAUCUUUGAACGCACAUUGCGCCCUUUGGUAUUCCAAAGGGCAUGCCUGUUUGAGCGUCAUUUCUCCCUCAAACCCCCGGGUUUGGUGUUGAGCAAUACGCUAGGUUUGUUUGAAAGAAUUUACGUGGAAACUUAUUUUAAGCGACUUAGGUUUAUCCAAAACGCUUAUUUUGCUAGUGGCCACCACAAUUUAUUUCCAUAACUUUGACCUCAAAAUCAGGGUAGAGCUUACGUAUCAGGC
Molecule: ribosomal RNA, 507 nt
Filed under: Candida tropicalis
Lineage: Eukaryota; Fungi; Ascomycota; Pichiomycetes; Serinales; Debaryomycetaceae
Description: eukaryotic LSU rRNA
Rfam family: 5.8S ribosomal RNA (bases 173-326)
Source: RNAcentral